GGAGAAAAGCAGGGGAUCGCAAGACCUUGCGCUUUUGGAGCGGCCGAUGCCUGAUUAGCUUGUUGGUGAGGUAAAAGCUCACCAAGGCUCCGAUCAGUAGCUGGUCUGAGAGGACGACCAGCCACACUGGGACUGAGACACGGCCCAGACUCCUACGGGAGGCAGCAGUGGGGAAUUUUGGACAAUGGGGGCAACCCUGAUCCAGCCAUGCCGCGUGAGUGAAGAAGGCCUUCGGGUUGUAAAGCUCUUUCAGCCGGAACGAAACGGUCACGGUUAAUACCCGUGACUACUGACGGUACCGGAAGAAGAAGCACCGGCUAACUACGUGCCAGCAGCCGCGGUAAUACGUAGGGUGCGAGCGUUAAUCGGAAUUACUGGGCGUAAAGCGUGCGCAGGCGGUUUUGUAAGUCAGAUGUGAAAUCCCCGGGCUUAACCUGGGAACUGCGUUUGAAACUACAAAGCUAG
This 465-nucleotide ribosomal RNA is filed under the name uncultured bacterium. Its description in RNAcentral is "bacterial SSU rRNA". It matches the Rfam family "Bacterial small subunit ribosomal RNA", at positions 198 to 644 of the family's 1533-position model. The record is from RNAcentral.